GAUGAAGAACGCAGCGAAAUGCGAUAAGUAAUGCGAAUUGCAGAAUUCAGUGUGUCAUCGAAUCUUUGAACGCACAUUGCGCCCUGUGGUAUUCCGCAGGGCAUGCCUGUUCGAGCGUCAUUUCAACCCUCAAGCCCCGCUUGGUGUUGGGCCCCGCCCGCUGUGGCCGGCCCUAAAGACAGUGGCGGCGCCGCCUGGCCCUCAGCGUAGUACAUCUCUCGCUCCAGGGUCCGGUGGCCGCCUGCCAGAACCCCCCAACUCUGUGGUUGACCUCGGAUCAGGUAGGGAUACCCGCUGAACUUAAGCAUAUCAAUAAGCGGAGGA
This 324-nucleotide unclassified non-coding RNA is filed under the name soil metagenome. Its description in RNAcentral is "partial contains 5.8S ribosomal RNA, internal transcribed spacer 2, and large subunit ribosomal RNA". The stretch from base 1 to 120 matches the Rfam family "5.8S ribosomal RNA", at positions 35 to 154 of the family's 154-position model. The record is from RNAcentral.